This 590-nucleotide ribosomal RNA is filed under the name uncultured bacterium. RNAcentral describes it as "partial 16S ribosomal RNA". It matches the Rfam family "Bacterial small subunit ribosomal RNA", at positions 355 to 941 of the family's 1533-position model. The record is from RNAcentral.
UGGGGAAUCUUCCGCAAUGGACGAAAGUCUGACGGAGCAACGCCGCGUGAGUGAAGAAGGUUUUCGGAUCGUAAAACUCUGUCUUUUGGGGCGAACGUGAGUAUGGUGAACAAUCAUAGUCAGUGACGGUACCAAAGGAGGAAGCCACGGCUAACUACGUGCCAGCAGCCGCGGUAAUACGUAGGUGGCAAGCGUUGUCCGGAAUUAUUGGGCGUAAAGGGCGCGUAGGCGGGAUAGUCAGUCUGUUGUAAAGUGCGGGGCUCAACCCCGUGAUGGCAAUGGAAACAGCUAUUCUUGAGUGCAGGAGAGGAAAGUGGAAUUCCCAGUGUAGCGGUGAAAUGCGUAGAUAUUGGGAGGAACACCAGUGGCGAAGGCGACUUUCUGGACUGUGUCUGACGCUGAGGCGCGAAAGCCAGGGGAGCGAACGGGAUUAGAUACCCCCGGUAGUCCUGGCCGUAAACGAUGGGUACUAGGUGUGGGAGGUAUCGACCCCUUCCGUGCCGGAGUUAACGCAAUAAGUACCCCGCCUGGGGAGUACGGUCGCAAGACUGAAACUUAAAUGAAUUGACGGGGGUCAUAGCUGUUUCCUG